RNAcentral lists this ribosomal RNA (1244 nucleotides) under metagenome. RNAcentral describes it as "bacterial LSU rRNA". It matches the Rfam family "Bacterial large subunit ribosomal RNA", at positions 1564 to 2817 of the family's 2925-position model. The record is from RNAcentral.
UGAAUACGAGAUGCUACGGCGUCGAAGCAGUCUAUGUCAUACUUCCAAGAAAAGCUUGCACUGUCAUAAACAAAUAAUGCCUGUACCAUAACCGACACAGGUGGGUAGGUAGAGUAUACUAAGGGGCGCGAGAUAACUCUCUCUAAGGAACUCGGCAAAAUGACUCCGUAACUUCGGGAGAAGGAGUGCCUUAUUUAUAAGGUUGCAAUAACAAGAUCCAAGCAACUGUUUACCAAAAACACAGGUCUCCGCUAAGUCGUAAGACGAUGUAUGGGGGCUGACGCCUGCCCAGUGCCAGAAGGUUAAAGAAGUUGGUUAGCAUCCGCGAAGCUGAUAACUGAAGCCCUGGUGAACGGCGGCCGUAACUAUAACGGUCCUAAGGUAGCGAAAUUCCUUGUCGGGUAAGUUCCGACCCGCACGAAAGGCGUAAUGAUUUGGAUACUGUCUCGGAGAGGGGCUCGGUGAAAUAGACUUGUCUGUGAAGAUGCGGACUACCUGCACCAGGACAGAAAGACCCUAUGAAGCUUUACUGUAACCUGAAAUUGAAAUUGGACUUUACUUGCGCAGUAUAGGUGGGAGGCGUUGAGAAUAUUCUUGCGGGAUUAUUGGAGCCAUCAGUGAGAUACCACUCUUGUAAUGUUAGAUUUCUAACUUUGUAUCAUUAUCUGGUCAAAGAACAGUUUCUGGCGGGCAGUUUGACUGGGGCGGUCGCCUCCUAAACGGUAACGGAGGCGCACAAAGGUUUCCUCUGAACGGGUAGAAAUCGUAUCUAGAGUGUAAAGGCAUAAGGAAGCUUGACUGUGAGACCUACAAGUCGAGCAGGGACGAAAGUCGGUCUUAGUGAUCUGACGGUGCUGAGUGGAAAGGCCGUCACUCAACGGAUAAAAGUUACUCUAAGGAUAACAGGCUGAUCUCCCCCAAGAGUUCACAUCGACGGGGAGGUUUGGCACCUCGAUGUCGGCUCAUCGCAUCCUGGGGCGGUAGUACGUCCCAAGGGUUGGGCUGUUCGCCCAUGAAAGCGGUACGCGAGCUGGGUUCAGAACGUCGUGAGACAGUUCGGUCCAUAUCCGGUGUAGGCGUUAGAAUAUUGAGAGGAGCCUUCUUUAGUACGAGAGGACCGAGAAGGACAUACCUCUGGUGUACCAGUUAUCGUGCCAACGGUAAACGCUGGGUAGCUAUGUGUGGAGUGGAUAACCGCUGAAAGCAUCUAAGUGGGAAGCCCACCUCAAGAUAAGUAUUCUCUU